Molecule: long non-coding RNA, 893 nt
Organism: Rhopalosiphum padi (bird cherry-oat aphid)
Lineage: Eukaryota; Metazoa; Arthropoda; Insecta; Hemiptera; Aphididae
Exons: 2
Source: RefSeq, a predicted model, not a curated record
UAAAAGACGUUUCGGUCGCUGACUAGUUGCACGGAGUAUAAAUAAUCUAAUUUAUUAUAGUCGAUAGUCAAGUAUUUAUGAAAAACUUUUAAAAUUUUUAUUAGAAAGCCAUCAUCGGCGGUAGACCACCGAGUUGAAACUUAUCGUUGACUGUUCGAACGCGGAUCUAUUAUCGCGCCACAACCAGAUUAGAUAAUCUCCCUUGACCGUGCAACAUGUGGCGGAUCUUCUCGAGCCGGUUUUACCCCCUGCUCCUCCUAAGUUCGCGCCAUACCGUCUGCUGUGAGUGCUGACUUAUAAGCUGUGGCCUGUGCUGCCAGCCUUUUAAAACGCGUUUGUUCGUAUGUUAAUUCGUUGUACUGUUUUUGCCGACUUACUUGUACGCGUUAUUAUUAUUCGCAAGCCGCGGUGUGCCUUGGACAAUGCGUGCCGCCCAAAACUGCGUGUCCGGACGACGCGUUGUGUCGUCGUGCCGCUCCACCGCGUACCCGCACACUUUUAAGUCGUUCGUUCUGCAUAAGUGCAGAGGUUAGACAACGCAGUAGGAUACCUACGGGCUCUAUCAACAUUCAACAUACAUAUUAAUAUAUCUAUACGUGUAUAUACAACGUUGUGGCAGCGAGUCCACACCGUUCCACGUUAUUCGCCGUCGUCGCCGCCGAUACUUAACUGUAAGCAUCUUGGUCCUGUGUGCCAUCAUUCGAAACUGUCAGAAAAAAUAAAUGUUUUCCUAACGGCUAACACGACGGAAUAUGAAAUCAAAUAGUAUUUUUUCCGAAUAGUAAGCAGUGUGGAAUUCACAAGCUCCCUUCCAUGAAAGAUGUGUCAAAAUCAUAAAACCAAAAAUAAAUUAGGUAUAAUGUAUAUGUAAUAUAAUAAAUAAAACAAAUUAA